Molecule: ribosomal RNA, 301 nt
Filed under: uncultured bacterium
Lineage: Bacteria
Description: partial 16S ribosomal RNA
Rfam family: Bacterial small subunit ribosomal RNA
Source: RNAcentral
CAGCAGCCGCGGGAAUACGGAGGGAGCUAGCGUUGUUCGGAAUUACUGGGCGUAAAGCGCGCGUAGGCGGUUACUCAAGUCAGAGGUGAAAGCCCGGGGCUCAACCCCGGAACUGCCUUUGAAACUAGGUGACUAGAAUCUUGGAGAGGUCAGUGGAAUUCCGAGUGUAGAGGUGAAAUUCGUAGAUAUUCGGAAGAACACCAGUGGCGAAGGCGACUGACUGGACAAGUAUUGACGCUGAGGUGCGAAAGCGUGGGGAGCAAACAGGAUUAGAUACCCCGGUAGUCCCUGUCUCUUAUAC